GACGAACGCUGGCGGCGUGCUUAACACAUGCAAGUCGAACGGAAAGGCCCUGCUUUUGUGGGGUGCUCGAGUGGCGAACGGGUGAGUAACGCGUGAGUAACCUGCCCUUGACUUUGGGAUAACUUCAGGAAACUGGGGCUAAUACCGGAUAGGAGCUCCUGCUGCAUGGUGGGGGUUGGAAAGUUUCGGCGGUUGGGGAUGGACUCGCGGCUUAUCAGCUUGUUGGUGGGGUAGUGGCUUACCAAGGCUUUGACGGGUAGCCGGCCUGAGAGGGUGACCGGCCACAUUGGGACUGAGAUACGGCCCAGACUCCUACGGGAGGCAGCAGUGGGGAAUAUUGCACAAUGGGCGGAAGCCUGAUGCAGCAACGCCGCGUGCGGGAUGACGGCCUUCGGGAUGUAAACCGCUUUCGCCUGUGACGAAGCGUGAGUGACGGUAAUGGGUAAAGAAGCACCGGCUAACUACGUG
RNAcentral lists this ribosomal RNA (468 nucleotides) under uncultured bacterium. Its description in RNAcentral is "partial 16S ribosomal RNA". It matches the Rfam family "Bacterial small subunit ribosomal RNA", at positions 28 to 507 of the family's 1533-position model. The record is from RNAcentral.